UAAAAAACAAAAAAAAUACCUUAAAAUUUUUUUGGGCAUUUGGGGGGGACUACAACCCAGCCCAGUCCCCCUCCAUCCAUCUCUGCCUCUAGGUGUUGGGUUCAACUGCAUAACUUUCACUGUAGACCAGCACUCUAUGAUGAGGUGAUUCCUAUACUUAUAGCUGAUGUUGAUAAUCAGACUUCGUAUAACAUGACUUAACCCAAAGCAAUUGAAGACAUUAGAUUCAUUAGACUCGAUGUCUUCUUUGUAUUCAAAAUCAAGAAAAAAUAUUCGCCAGUAAUUAGAUUAUACUAGCAAACCACACAUUCACUUGCAUUGGAAUUCAAAUCUAAGGGAGGAAAAAAUCCCUAAUUAUGUUACCUUGCAUGAUAUAACUAGAUGUCCAUUUUAGAAGUUAGCUUAGAUUUCCAAGCUUUGGAAAGGUAUAAGUGACAGUUUAUCUGGGCACUGAUCUCCAUUUUCAGUAGCUUCGGAUGUCAAUGAGUAAAUCCUGGCUUUCCCCCAGGUACAUGAUUGUGUCAAAAAACAGAGGCAAGCAAGGAUUUAUCAAAGCUGCUCCUAGCAUAAUUAGGUUUAUCAACGAGAGAAAGCCAGGAUUUACUCAGUGACAUGCAUUAAACACAGAUUUAGCCUCAAAAUCGGCAGAGGAUUUUCGUGAGAUUGUUAUUUGACAAAUUGUUUAUCUGGGUACUGAUCUCCAUUUUCAGUAGCUACUCGUCUUCAAUAUAAUCAUGGUUGGUGUUGCUUUCAU
This 754-nucleotide long non-coding RNA is filed under the name Olea europaea subsp. europaea. The record is from RNAcentral. Lineage: Eukaryota; Viridiplantae; Streptophyta; Magnoliopsida; Lamiales; Oleaceae.